This is a small nucleolar RNA of Ictidomys tridecemlineatus (thirteen-lined ground squirrel), 130 nucleotides long. The record is from Ensembl. Lineage: Eukaryota; Metazoa; Chordata; Mammalia; Rodentia; Sciuridae.
AAAAUGUGGCAUACUGCAGGCACAAGGUGCGACCUUGCAUUCUGAACCACUUUCAAGUGUUUUCCUCUGUGGUUUAGCUUUACUCCCAGGACUAUCUGUUGGGUCAAUGGGAAGGAACUACUAGGCAAUU